GCGGGGGUGCCCGAGCAGGACAAAGGGGGCGGACUUAAGAUCCGUUGGCGAAGGCCUGCGUGGGUUCAAAUCCCACCCCCCGCA
Transfer RNA from Fervidicoccus fontis Kam940, 84 nucleotides. It matches the Rfam family "tRNA". From Rfam's summary of the family: Transfer RNA (tRNA) molecules are approximately 80 nucleotides in length. Their secondary structure includes four short double-helical elements and three loops (D, anti-codon, and T loops). The record is from Rfam. NCBI's taxonomy places the organism in Archaea, Thermoproteati, Thermoproteota, Thermoprotei, Fervidicoccales, Fervidicoccaceae.